UGAUUUUUCAUAAGGGAGAAGAAAGUGAAUUCUGUAAACUGUAAACCAAGAAUCUUGCCCUCAAUUUGAAUCAGGAAUCUAGAAAGAAUUUGUCAAAAGGGUUUUUUAGGGGGUGGGGGCACAUAUACAACAAAUCGUUGAUUACAAAAUUUAGCAUGGGACCACUAGUAACAAGUAGUGUAGCCUAAUCAAUCACUUCUCAGGUAAUUGACUCGAUGACAUUGGACAUUACUGUCCAGCUCUUGAGACUCUCUGCCUUUGAUUUCUAAGACCUUGUCUUGAUCUCUCUUAUCUCCCUGACAAGAGCUUCUCUGUCUCCUUCGCUCUCUUGUCCUUCUCCAAUUUAUUUAUAGGGCAAUCUUCCCCUACCCCCGGAUGGAAUUGAUGGAGAUCCCAUUCUUUUUCUGCUACCUCUUAGAACUUUAGGGACUUAGAAGCUGGACAGUGAUAGUGCUGGACUCACAUAUUCCUGCUUGAUUAGUUCUGCUGUUAUCUUUGAUUAGACUUUUCCACGGGCUGCUUGCACUCAGAUCAAUUCUCAUGGCCCUAGGAGUCGAGAGGGAAAAGAAGUUCCUAUUGAUCAAGAUUUUCAAGCCAAAUCCAGCUUAGGUCAUAUGCCAGGUUUUUCCCCACUCUAAACUUUUAUAUUCUGCUUUGCGAUGCUGGGGCUGGGACUCAGCUAACUACAUUUCUCAGACUCCUUUGCCAGCUGGUGUCUUAUUAAGUUCUACCAAUGGGAGACACUAGAGGACAAGUAGAAGUCAAUAGGAGGAAGGAAAGGAAUUUCUUCCCCUUUUUUCAGUUCCUAUCUCUUUACACCAGCAGCAGAGGAAAGUGACUCCAGCUUCUAGCUUCUUUCUAGCUUCCAGCACUCCCUACGCCAUGUUCCUCAGAGGAACCAGCACCUCCAGGACAUAUCCCCAUGGCAGUUGGAGUAACAGUUGUCCUGCUGCACGUCACCUUCUAGGCUGUAACUUCCAGGCUGUCCAAGGAUCUGCCCAACCAAAUCUCCUCCUCAAAAGUCCACACCCCAGUUGUGAAGAGCUUCCCUCUACAGCUCGGAGCACCAGAUCUACAAGGCCCCCUCCCAUGAAAUCCUGUGUUCCUAACCCUCGCCCUUUUUUUGCUUCUGCAGAUCUAACAGUUGUUAAUGUCCACUUCACAAUUUCAACUUUUCCAUGCUUAUGGAAAGAGUUUCCUGGAUUAACUCCUCUCUCUUUGAAAUACCCAGUGUGCUUUCUGUUUACCUCAUUGGGCCCUGAGUUACACAGGUUGCAGGGCCAAUCACCCAUUGCUGAGGCCAGAGAAUGACCGCAGUUGGUCAAGCCUAGGACUUACGCUCGCUUCUGUCAUUGAGAGCGUGGUCUUUUACUAGAAAAGGGAUAGGUAGGGGUGAUAGCACUGGUGGACAGCUGUGGGGAAAAAUAAUAGUCAUCAGAGUAAAAAACAACUUUGUCUUUUUUCUUGGUAAACUAAGGGAAGGAGGAGGGAGAAGGAUAACUGAAACGGAGGAAGUGAGGUUAAGGAAGAGUUUUGUUAGAGAUGAACAUGCAUGUCUGAGUGCUGAUGGGAUGGGCUAAUAUACAGGAAGAGAUGAAGAGACCAGAGAAAGAAGAAGCAACCGGAUGGUGUUGACCUCAAAAGGGAAUAGGAACCCAGUUUGAGGGGAGGCCUUGAAUACGAGGAAGGACACAUGUGCUGAAACAGGAGUGAAGGAGGCUGCAGUGGAUCCGGAGUAUUUUUAUAGAACACUGUUUUAAUGAAAUGGUGAAACUGGCAGUUCAAGGAAUCUUUUGGACCUGUAUCAUUGCCUUCAGGAAGGCUGUUUGUGCAUGAAGAGAAAAUGGACCACCAUCUGGACUGAAGACUGAAGACCUGGGCUGAACACCUCCACCCAUGAUUCUUCCCCUCCUCCUGAACUCACCCCCUAAUAUCAGCAAACAUUAAGGUCCUUCUCUUUGCAAAGUCAGCAGAAACAGGACAGAAGAGAUACGGAGGCUACAAUUUGUAAGAAUCAACAGAGUAGACAGAUCCACAAUGUGUAGACAGAGCUUGCCACGCCUCUAUGCAAAGCCCCCAGAGGAUCUCCAGCACAUUUAGGACACAUUUAGGAUAAAUCUGGUCAUACUGUGGCCUAUGAGGCCCUAGGUGAUCCAUCAUAUGGCUUCAUUUCUGACCUCGUCAUCUUCUACUAGUUUCCUUCUUGUUCACUCUGCUCCAACCAACUAGGCUCCUUGCUGUUUCUCAAACACUCCAAGCACCCCAACUUCAGAAUGCUUGCACGUUCUGUUUCCUCUAUCUAAAACACCUUUCUCUCAGAUACCCUUAUGGCUCUCUCACUUCUUUCAAGUCUCUGUUCUGACGUCACCAAAUCAUUGAGCCUUUACUGCUCUCCCGAAAUAAAACAACCUACCCAAACUUAUAUGCCAUUUUUUUAAUAGUACUUAUCACUACCUAUUUGUUUAUUUGUUAAUUGUCUGACUCUCCCCACUGGAAUGUAAGCUUCAUGAAAGCAAGGAUUCUAUUGCUUUGGCCACUGCAGAAUCCCCCACACCAUCUGGCACAUAGUAGUGAGUGCUCCAUAAUUAUCCUUUGUUUGGAUGAAUGAAUGUAAUUGUAACAUUCAUUGUGACAUUGUACUAAUAAUUGAUUUGUAAUUAUUGCUGAAUUAUUCAGAGUUCCUUCAGCCUUUUUAUUCUUACAUUAACAUUACUAAACACUUUCCUUUUCUGAAAUAGGUCACGCAUACACACAUGCACAAGUGUUAGAAUCAUUGGUAGAGGGGUAAACAUAGUUAAGAUCACUUUGGUGAUUAAGUGAAGGAUAGAAUUAAGGGAGCUAGAAUUAUAAAUGGACUAUUGUAAUUCAGCCUUUGAAUGAUGAAAUAUUGAAUUAAGCAAGUGGAAAUGGAUAAAGGUGCAUAUUUAAAAAUUUUAGGUAGUAAGAUCAUCAGAAUUUGGGAAAUGUUAAAGCAGAUAGUCAAGGAUGAUUCCAUAUUUUUAGUUCGGGGUGAAUGGUUGAUGAUAAUGCUCCCAAUUGAGAGAGAGAAUACAAGAGGGGAUGAUGUGGAGGUGGGGAUAAUCACCAAGUUAGUUUUAGCAAGACUGACCUGUGGUAAUGGCGAAGAAGACUCCGAGGAAAUAUGACCAGCAGACCAGUGGACGUAUGAGGCUGAAAGUCUUAGUUUAGCUCUUAGUUUUUCCUUUUGGAUUAAUCUUCAUAUUUCUAGAUACUAUGCUUAUGCUAUUUCUUGGGUUAUCAAUUUUACGCAUAUUUUAUUAAUUCCUGUAACGCAAAUGAGAUUUUCACUCUCUUUGUUCAUCUCCUCUUUUAUCAUCCCAGUGUAACUUUAUCACUAUUUUUGGUCAAAUCAACAAUAAUGUUUACAUUAAUGUGGCUAUAUAAAAAGCCUCAGAACCAAGCAGUGUUGUGAUAGCUUAAUUAGCUUUCCUUGUUUGGCCUAAAUUUAGUUUUUCCUUCAGUCAAAUUUACUUAGCUUUUUCAUUUGCUUAGUUUUUAUAGAUAUGCUUCAUUUUUGCAAAUAUUCCACCAUCUAUUACAUUGCUAUCUAUAUUAUUUUCCAAAAUCUCAGACAUGUCAGACAAUGCCUCAAUUCCACAUUUUUUUCUGAAGACCCAACCCUGAACCCUUUGUCCUCUUUUUCUAGUUAACCAGUUGCUUCUGGCCUGCUGAGUGUCUCAUCCUGUUUCUUUAAGCUUCACCAUGAAGGUGGAAUAAUUUUAUCACUCUGCUUUAUUGCGUAUCUUGUUGAACAAGACCUAUUAUUUUCCUCUCUCUUAUUUUAUGCCCUUAUUUUACUGUAGCAAUCCUAUUGUAGCUCCCUGUGAACAAGUAUUUGAGGUCCAUUUUUUUCACUUUCUUUUUUUAGUCCUUGCAUGUCUGAAAAAGUCUUAUUUUAGCCUCACAUUUGAUUGAGAAUUUGCCUAACUAUAAAAUUUUAUCCUGAAAAUAGUCUUCUCUCAAAAUUUAAAAGGUGUGUUUCCACUGAUUUGUGGUGUCUAGUGCUGCACCUGAGAAGUCCAAUGUCAUCUAAUUUUCUUUCUUUUAAUUGUAACUUACUUCUCAUCCCUUCUCUGAAAAAUGUUUUCUUCUUCAUCAUUAAUGUUCCAAAAGUUCACAACAUUAUGAUUUUGAGUUUGUUUUCAUUUUCUAAGCUGGUAUUCAUUAACCUCUUUUCACUAUAUAGGACGUUUUGUUUAUAAUUUAAACAAAAUUCCCCUAUGUUUUUGUUGUUUUAUUUUUCUAAACCUCCUUUUUAUUAGAGAUUGGACCUCCUGGAUUUCUCUGAUUAUUUUACCUUUUCUUUCCUAUUUCUUCACCUGUCUCUUAUUCUACUUUCCAGAAGAUUGUCUUGAGUUUAGCUUUCUUCAGAUACUGAAUUCUUUUCUGUUAGCAUCAUAUGUUUAGUUUCCACAAACUCCUUUUUAUUUAAUGGUUGGUUUAUUUUCAUGACAUUAUCUUCUGUUUUGAGAAUGUCAAGAUUUCUCAUCUGAACAUAUUAAUUAAGGCAGGGGUUUUGCUAAGUGAGGGAUGAGUGAGUAGGAGCAUGGCUGCCGAGGGUGGGCGAGUGAACAAUCUGUGUCUUGGCUAGUCUGCCUAACCCAUGCCACCUACCUUCUCCACUGCUUCUCAGAUAUGAGCCCCUCAGGAGUUUUCACUCCUACUCUCUUUUCACAAAGCUGAACUCCUGAUGCAUUGAAGGCCUAAUUGUGAAAUGAAAAACCUAUACAAUUAGUAGAAUAGGAUGUAGACCUUACAGCGAGGGAGUUUUUAGCAAGAUUUAAAAUCACAAACAAUAUAGAAUUCAUAGUUCUGAUGUCAUAAAAAAGCAAAAUUUCUGUUUCAACUUAAGAUAAUAUUGUAACAUUCUUAUAAACCAAAAUAUUAAGAGUAGUUCUCUCUGGAUGGUGAGAAUGUAUGAUAGUGAAGAAAGAAAACUCAAAAGAAGAUUGACUGAAAUAAAAUUGAGGAAUAAAGGGUCAAGCCUACAUGAGGUCAGAGUGUAAUGAGGUGUAAAUUAAGAUGAGAGAACUCUUGGUGCAGAAGUCAGCGGGAAGAUCACGGGCUAAAUUUUACAGCUAGUAUGGUGCUAAAUGAUGAUAAAGGUUGCCUUGGAAAGGGGUGGAUGGUGACUGAAAUGGAGUAGAACUGAAAAUCAUAGACCAUUGAAUAGGUUAUCUGCACAGUCCCUGUAAUUUUCUAAAAGAUGGGCAAGAGCUGUGGAGAGGGGCAAGACUCUGAGCCGUGUAUCAAAAUCCUCAAUGUCUAAUGAAGGAUUGUCCAAGAAUAAUACGGACUAGAGAGUUGAUAGACCACACCUCUGAGAUUUGCUACUUUAUUCAAAGAAAUAUCCCGUCAUAUUCACCUGUAACUAAAACUGGCUAUUCUUAAAUGGCAGCUCUUAGGAUCAGUCUAAGAAGAAUCAUAUUUUUGACAAAGACUCAUUACAUUGCGUUUAAUCCAACCAUAUUUUUCCUCUGUUUACUUUACCUAUGUAGUAGACAUUUUAGGUAGUGUUGAAAAUCUUCACUUCCUUACUAAACUGACUGUUCUUUAAUAUUUCAACCUCUUGAUUUAUCUGCAUACCUAAUUGUAUCAGUGAAUUCAGGAUAAAGGAAGCUGAAAAGGUGAGGAGAGCCUCUGAGAUAUGACAAGCAACCUUUUAAGCCUCAGAAAUUUUACAGAUCCCUAACUGAUUUACAGAAGUCUUUCAAUUGUUUACAUACCAACUGAUUGUCUUGUCUUCCCCAGGUCUGGCUGACCUACUUCCUGGUUUGAUAAAGAUCGCAUGGGAGCCAAGAAAACACUGGCAAGAUUAGUCAGAUUCAUUCAGAGGAAGUUACUUAAGAACUCAUUUUAUUUAUGUUCCUUUAUAAAUAUUUCCACUCCCACCCUUUACCUAAACCAUUCAUACUCAUCCCUAAAAAAAUCCACCAAAGUUAUAAUGAAAACAAAGUUAUGUUCUCGUUCUC
Long non-coding RNA from Equus caballus (horse), 5993 nucleotides. RefSeq lists it as uncharacterized. The record is from RefSeq and is a predicted model, not a curated record. NCBI's taxonomy places the organism in Eukaryota, Metazoa, Chordata, Mammalia, Perissodactyla, Equidae.